GUCUUUUUGAUUAUGAUUUAAAGUCUGGUCUGCCCACUGUAAUAUAAAUGAAGGGCCGCGGUAUUUUAACUGUGCAAAGGUAGCAUAAUAAUUAGUUUCUUUAUUGGAAACUGGAAUGAAUGGCUGGACGAGAAAAAUAGUGUCUCAAUAAAAAUUAAUGAAUUUUAUUUUUAAGUGAAAAAGCUUAAAUGAUUUUAAAAGACGAGAAGACCCUAUAGAGUUUUACAUAAAUUUUAUAUUAAAUAAUUGGAAUUUUUUAUUAUUAUAAUAAUUUUUGUUUAGCUGGGGUGGCUUUAAAAUUGAUUUAACUUUUAUAUAUUUUUACACUAAUUUGUGAUUAUUUGAUCCAUAAAUUUGAUUAAAAGAUUUAAUUACCUUAGGGAUAACAGCGUAAUCUUUCUUAGGAGUUCAAAUCAAUAGAAGGGAUUGCGA
RNAcentral lists this ribosomal RNA (432 nucleotides) under Dermestes ater. Its description in RNAcentral is "partial large subunit ribosomal RNA". Lineage: Eukaryota; Metazoa; Arthropoda; Insecta; Coleoptera; Dermestidae. The record is from RNAcentral.